AAGAUUGCCUUAGUAGCGGCGAGUGAAGCGGCAAAAGCUCAAAUUUGAAAUCUGGCACCUUCGGUGUCCGAGUUGUAAUUUGAAGAUUGUAACCUUGGGGUUGGCUCUUGUCUAUGUUUCUUGGAACAGGACGUCACAGAGGGUGAGAAUCCCGUGCGAUGAGAUGCCCAAUCCUAUGUAAGGUGCUUUCGAAGAGUCGAGUUGUUUGGGAAUGCAGCUCUAAGUGGGUGGUAAAUUCCAUCUAAAGCUAAAUAUUGGCGAGAGACCGAUAGCGAACAAGUACAGUGAUGGAAAGAUGAAAAGAACUUUGAAAAGAGAGUGAAAAAGUACGUGAAAUUGUUGAAAGGGAAGGGUUUGAGAUCAGACUCGAUAUUUUGUGAGCCUUGCCUUCGUGGCGGGGUGACCCGCAGCUUAUCGGGCCAGCAUCGGUUUGGGCGGUAGGAUAAUGGCGUAGGAAUGUGACUUUGCUUCGGUGAAGUGUUAUAGCCUGCGUUGAUGCUGCCUGCCUAGACCGAGGACUGCGAUUUUAUCAAGGAUGCUGGCAUAAUGAUCCCAAACCGCCCGUCUGAAA
Molecule: ribosomal RNA, 571 nt
Filed under: Meyerozyma guilliermondii
Lineage: Eukaryota; Fungi; Ascomycota; Pichiomycetes; Serinales; Debaryomycetaceae
Description: eukaryotic LSU rRNA
Rfam family: Eukaryotic large subunit ribosomal RNA
Source: RNAcentral